This 16-nucleotide ribosomal RNA is filed under the name Inocybe alboflavella. RNAcentral describes it as "partial large subunit ribosomal RNA". Lineage: Eukaryota; Fungi; Basidiomycota; Agaricomycetes; Agaricales; Inocybaceae. The record is from RNAcentral.
CUGACCUCAAAUCAGA